CGAAAGCCUGACGGAGCAACGCCGCGUGAGGGAUGAAGGCCUCUGGGCUGUAAACCUCUUUUCUCAAGGAAGAAGAUCUGACGGUACUUGAGGAAUAAGCCACGGCUAAUUCCGUGCCAGCAGCCGCGGUAAUACGGGAGUGGCAAGCGUUAUCCGGAAUUAUUGGGCGUAAAGCGUCCGCAGGCGGUUCUGUAAGUCUGCCGUUAAAGCGUGGAGCUUAACUCCAUUUCGGCGGUGGAAACUGCAGGACUUGAGUGUGGUAGGGGCAGAGGGAAUUCCCGGUGUAGCGGUGAAAUGCGAAGAUAUCGGGAAGAACACCAGUGGCGAAGGCGCUCUGCUGGGCCAUAACUGACGCUCAUGGACGAAAGCCAGGGGAGCG
Molecule: ribosomal RNA, 379 nt
Filed under: uncultured cyanobacterium
Lineage: Bacteria; Bacillati; Cyanobacteriota
Description: bacterial SSU rRNA
Rfam family: Bacterial small subunit ribosomal RNA
Source: RNAcentral